CAAUAGCGUAUAUUAAAGUUGUUGCGGUUAAAAAGCUCGUAGUUGGAGUUCUGCCAGGUGCCGCCUGUCCGCCCCAGUGGUGAGUACGUGGCGCGCAUUUGGCCCUUUCAAGGGGAGCGUAUCUGCACUUUAUUGUGUGGUGCGGGAUCCUUGACUUUUACUUUGAGGAAAUAGGAGUGUUCCAAGCAGGCUCUCGUCGUGCACAGCUCAGCAUGGAAUAAUAGCAUUGGACCUCGAUUCUAAGCUGUUGGUUGCCAGAAGCGAGGUAAUGAUGAAGAGGGAUAGUUGGGGGCAUUCGUAUUUAACUGUCAGGGGUGAAAUUCUUGGAUUUGUUAAAGACGGACUACUGCGAAAGCAUUUGCCAAGGAUGUUUUCAUUGA
RNAcentral lists this ribosomal RNA (380 nucleotides) under uncultured eukaryote. RNAcentral describes it as "partial 18S ribosomal RNA". It matches the Rfam family "Eukaryotic small subunit ribosomal RNA", at positions 592 to 976 of the family's 1831-position model. The record is from RNAcentral.